GCCCGAGCUUCCUCCACGCGCCGUGCAGUCUCCACGGCGACGCUGCGUUCCCGACUCGGAGCCCCCAGCUCCGCGCGAGCAGCUAGCCGGGCUGGCUCUCGGUGUGUGCCCUUCGGAUGGUCUGCUGAAGAGGGCCGCCAGCUGGACUUCUGUAGACAAGACAGAUACUGUAAAGACAGCAAAGAACAAACAGAAUGGCAGAUUGCUAAUGUUUGAUCCAAACGAAAAAGUGAUGAUUGAAUCAAACGAAGCAAUGUCAGAGUAAGAAGAUGUCUUUGAUUGUGCAGCUGAUCUCUCCCAUGCCUUUUAAGCAAUUAGAACUAGAUAAUGCAGCCAUUUGUCACCCAAUUAAAUUUGAAAGGCCAGAAAUGCAUGGAUUAGCACUUCAGCUUUUGCUGCAGUCAAAGCAAUUGUUACUAUAGAUAGAAGGACAGUUAAAAUGAAAAAUGAAUUUUGAUAAAAAUGCAGAAGUAUAGAUAAUAUUCACUUCUACUUUUUAAUGCUUAAACACCCUGUAUUCUGUAUUUUACUUGUAUCAUAAUUUUCAUUGCUCAUUCCUAUUUCCCUUUGAUACUUAUUUCUUUCACAAUAUUUCUUCAAGUGAAUAUGUACUUUAAAAUUAACAAAUUAUUUACUAUAACAUGAAUUGUUACUACUCAAUAAAGAAAGUAAUCACCUCAACUAGUUGAAGAAACUGGUGUUAAAAAAAUUGUAUUCUUUCCAGCCUUU
This 729-nucleotide long non-coding RNA is filed under the name Homo sapiens (human). RNAcentral's name for it is "non-protein coding lnc-ERICH2-1:7". Lineage: Eukaryota; Metazoa; Chordata; Mammalia; Primates; Hominidae. The record is from RNAcentral.